Long non-coding RNA from Peromyscus leucopus (white-footed mouse), 1319 nucleotides. RefSeq lists it as uncharacterized. The record is from RefSeq and is a predicted model, not a curated record. Lineage: Eukaryota; Metazoa; Chordata; Mammalia; Rodentia; Cricetidae. The transcript is spliced from 3 exons.
UGUGGAGCAUAGAAGAGGGGCGGAAGGGUGUGGGUUCCUCCAAGAGGGGAAAGCUCGGUGGCUCGUCUCCCUGAUUUGGACACACCAUUGCCCAAUACUGGAGCCUAUGCAGAGGCAGUAAGAAUGGUGUGGGUUGAUGGAAAAAGAAUGCGGUACCAGAAGCUUCCUUCCUGGGGCCGUAUGAAAAGGGCAGGCCUUACUGUAAAACUAAGGGACAGAGAAAUGUUAUAAUCAGACCGUUAAAUGCUUAUUAUAAGACAUCUCGCAAAGCUUGCAUUUUAGAAAACAUCAAAUGAUUCUACACAUGACUUGGUUAAGGUAAAAAUAGUUUCAGACUGUCUAACACAUUGCAACUGCAUGAGCAGCCAGUCUAGACAUGGACUGUAAAAAUAGAUCUAUGCUUUGCAGACCCUGAGAAAACUUGUAACUUCCCAGUAUGACAGACACUGUCCCAGGAUGUUGUUUCAGCCGACUCUUUGGAACCUGAACCCACUGAAGCUGGACUUCCUCCGAGAGGAGAACUGGAAGGAACUGUCGGCCCUCGGGAGGAGCUGGCAGAGCUGGGCUAGGCCAUCUUGAAGAUCUGUGGAGAGGAUCUGUCUCCAUCUUGUGGCCACUUAAGUGGCCCGGAGGGAACUCACUAGGAGAAACAGCAUUAAAUUGAUCAAGCCACGCACUUCGCUGGCACCCUAGCAACCAAUGAGCGCCAAGUCAACCACAGCGGUUAAAACCCAAACAGAGCUUAGUAAGAUUUAAUAAGCUGGAACCAAGCCGCCUUCCUAAGCAAGUCAGACUCUACAUUAUACAUCUCUAGCUGGGCUUGAAUUCACAACUACACAUAAACCCUCGGUCAUAAAUAAAAGGCCCGGAACGACGAGGAUGGGAUUCGAACCCACGCGUGCAGAGCACAAUGGAUUAGCAGUCCAUCGCCUUAACCACUCGGCCACCUCGUCAGAGCAUGCCAGUGGCACCACGUGGCUCGGUCAGAGUUUUCUACCUCCUGGCCACAUUGUGGCGCUCCGAGGGGCACUGGGGCAGUCGGGGACACGUGGCUUGUCCCCAGACAAAAGAACUAGAAACGAAGAAAAGGAGAGGGGCGAGAAACCCCAACAACAACAUCAACAACAGGCUGCUGGGAUGUGUGUGCUUCCGCAGCGUUCAGCAAAGCAGUCCCCAGGACAGGAGCACCGGGGACGAGCGUCCUGGGCGGCCCCUGUCUGCAGACGUUGGAGCGUGAGGCCGUGCAGGAGGGGGCGGUGGGCGCGGCAGAGGUGGGCAUGACAGAGGAGGGCGCGGCAGAGGAGGGCAUGACAGAGGUG